Molecule: ribosomal RNA, 497 nt
Filed under: uncultured bacterium
Lineage: Bacteria
Description: partial 16S ribosomal RNA
Rfam family: Bacterial small subunit ribosomal RNA
Source: RNAcentral
GAUGAACGCUGGCGGCGUGCCUAAUACAUGCAAGUCGAGCGAACAGAUGAGGAGCUUGCUCCUCUGACGUUAGCGGCGGACGGGUGAGUAACACGUGGAUAACCUACCUAUAAGACUGGGAUAACUUCGGGAAACCGGAGCUAAUACCGGAUAAUCUCUUGAACCGCAUUGUGCAAUAGUGAAUGACGGUUUUUCUGUCUCUUAUAGAUGGAUCCCCGCCGCAUUAGCUGGUUGGUAAGGUAACGGGUUACCAAGGCUACGAUGCGUAGCCGACCUGUGAGAGUGAUCGGCCGCACUGGAAGUGGGCCACGGUCCAGACUCCUACGGGAGGCAGCAGAAGGGUAUCUUCCGCAGUGGUCGAGAGCCUGACGGAGCGGCGCGACGUGAGUGGUGGCAGUCUUCGGAGCGUGAUGCUGGGCUACGAGGGGAGAACCAAUGUGUAAGUAACCGUAGAGGGCUUGACGGUACCUAGUCAGAAAGCAACGGCUAACUACGUG